RNAcentral lists this ribosomal RNA (301 nucleotides) under uncultured bacterium. RNAcentral describes it as "partial 16S ribosomal RNA". It matches the Rfam family "Bacterial small subunit ribosomal RNA", at positions 509 to 809 of the family's 1533-position model. The record is from RNAcentral.
CAGCAGCCGCGGGAAAACAGAGGGUGCGAGCGUUAAUCGGAUUUACUGGGCGUAAAGCGUGCGUAGGCGGCUUUUUAAGUCGGAUGUGAAAUCCCUGAGCUUAACUUAGGAAUUGCAUUCGAUACUGGGAAGCUAGAGUAUGGGAGAGGAUGGUAGAAUUCCAGGUGUAGCGGUGAAAUGCGUAGAGAUCUGGAGGAAUACCGAUGGCGAAGGCAGCCAUCUGGCCUAAUACUGACGCUGAGGUACGAAAGCAUGGGGAGCAAACAGGAUUAGAUACCCGAGUAGUCCCUGUCUCUUAUAU